CCAAAUUCCAUCCAUGGAGAAUCUCACCUUCCUCAAAAAUGGCGUUCUCCGAUUACCCCCCGGCUUCCGCUUCCACCCCACCGACGAGGAGCUCGUCCUGCAAUACCUCAUGAAGAAAGCCCUUUCCUCCCCUCUCCCGGCCGCCGUCAUUCCCGACGCCGAUGUCUGCAGAUUCGACCCAUGGGACUUGCCAGGCGAUUUGGAGCGGGAGAGAUACUUUUUCAGUACAAGAGAAGCCAAAUACUCUAAUGGAAGAAGGUCUAACAGAGCCACUGGUUCUGGGUAUUGGAAGGCUACUGGAAUUGAUCGGAGAAUUGUUUCUUCAAAGGAGAAUCGAUUGGUAGGGUUUAAGAAAACCCUUGUUUUCUAUACUGGAAAACCCCCUAAUGGCUCAAGAACUGAUUGGGUUAUGCAUGAGUAUCGUCUUGUCGGAAGUCCCGAAGCUCCUCCUUCCACCUUUAAUGACGGACUAUCCACCUUGAAUCGUAACUGGGUUUUAUGUCGGAUAUUUUUAAAGAAAAGAAGCACAAGAGAAAGAGAUGAGAAGAAGAAUAUUUGUAAGCCAGUUUUUCAUCAGUUUCUAAGAACAAGGAAUGGGACUGAUUUGAAUGUUGCUCCAUGUUCUUCAUCCUCUGGAUCAAGUGGAGUUACAGAGAUUUCAGUAAAUAAUCAUCAAGAACAAGAAGAAACCAGCAGC
RNAcentral lists this unclassified non-coding RNA (697 nucleotides) under Hevea brasiliensis (rubber tree). Lineage: Eukaryota; Viridiplantae; Streptophyta; Magnoliopsida; Malpighiales; Euphorbiaceae. The record is from RNAcentral.